UACAGAGGUCUCAAGCGUUGUUCGGAUUCAUUGGGCGUAAAGGGUGCGUAGGUGGCGCUGUAAGUCGGGUGUGAAAUUUCGGAGCUUAACUCCGAAACUGCAUUCGAUACUGCGGUGCUUGAGGACUGGAGAGGAGACUGGAAUUCAUGGUGUAGCAGUGAAAUGCGUAGAGAUCAUGAGGAAGACCAGUGGCGAAGGCGGGUCUCGUGGACAGUUCCUGACACUGAGGCACGAAGGCCAGGGGAGCAAACGGG
This 254-nucleotide ribosomal RNA is filed under the name uncultured bacterium. RNAcentral's name for it is "partial 16S ribosomal RNA". It matches the Rfam family "Bacterial small subunit ribosomal RNA", at positions 524 to 776 of the family's 1533-position model. The record is from RNAcentral.